RNAcentral lists this small RNA (421 nucleotides) under Pongo abelii (Sumatran orangutan). RNAcentral's name for it is "processed transcript". Lineage: Eukaryota; Metazoa; Chordata; Mammalia; Primates; Hominidae. The record is from RNAcentral.
CACAACAGGUCUGAAAAGGAGUCAGACAGAUGGCACUCUGGAUCAGGUUUCCCACAGGGAGAAAAUGGAGCACACAUUCAGGCAUUCUAUUUUGGUGCAGGAGCAGCAGCAGAACCCUAGUUCUUCUGACUGAUGUCCCGGUUUGGGGAAACUCUGAGGACAUUAGACUUGGAUUCAGUCCAGGCUGAUGGCUCAACACAGAGUGGGUCAGCAUGCGGAGGGAGAGGGGACCGUGGGGGGCAGCCAGGGAUCUGCCGAAAGAUCAUACUGCAAAGUGACGGGACCAGCUCACCGAACAGCGUGGCAGUCUCUUUCCUAGUAGCUUUCUAUGUUGGUUACGUCUGUUACGGAUCCCCCCCUAACAUGCUUUUUCUCUAAAGCAGGAAUUGAAAUGUAGUACACGCUGCAAAUGCUGUCCUUC